GGCUAACGCUGGCGGCGUGUCUUAGCCAUGUAAGUCGAGCGGACUUAUGGGGUAACUUAUAAGUCAGCGGCGGACGGCGGAGUAACACGUAGCUAACCUACCCUCUGGACGGGGAUAACCUACCGAAAGGUGGGCUAAUACCCGAUGUAGUCAUCCUGUAUAGGGGUGAUGAAAGGUGGGCUUCUGUUUACAAGCUCAUGCUGGAGGAGGGGGCUGCGGCCUAAUCAGGUAGUUGGUAGGGUAAUAGCCUACCAAGCCGAUGACGGGUAGCCGGCCUGAGAGGGUGACCGGCCCGAGGGGCACUGAGAUACGGGUCCCACUCCUACGGGAGGCAGCAGGCUAGAAAUUUGGGCAAUGGGGGAAACCCUGACCCAGUGACGCCGCGUGCAGGAAGGAGCCCUUCGGGGUGUAAACUGCUGUCGUGUAGGGAGAAGGGUACUAAGGUGAACAAUCUUAGUACUUGACGGUACUACAGGAGGAAGCCCAGGCUAACCUCGUG
Molecule: ribosomal RNA, 499 nt
Filed under: uncultured bacterium
Lineage: Bacteria
Description: bacterial SSU rRNA
Rfam family: Bacterial small subunit ribosomal RNA
Source: RNAcentral